RNAcentral lists this ribosomal RNA (314 nucleotides) under Pseudotothyris obtusa. RNAcentral describes it as "partial 12S small subunit ribosomal RNA". It matches the Rfam family "Bacterial small subunit ribosomal RNA", at positions 868 to 1348 of the family's 1533-position model. The record is from RNAcentral. Lineage: Eukaryota; Metazoa; Chordata; Actinopteri; Siluriformes; Loricariidae.
UCCGCCAGGGGACUACAAGCACAGCUUAAAACCCAAAGGACUUGGCGGUGCCUCAGACCCACCUAGAGGAGCCUGUUCUAGAACCGAUAACCCCCGUUAAACCUCACCACCUCUUGUUUUUCCCGCCUAUAUACCGCCGUCGUCAGCUUACCCUGUGAAGGUUAAACAGUAAGCAAAAUGGGCUAAGCCCAAAACGUCAGGUCGAGGUGUAGCGCACGAGAUGGGAAGAAAUGGGCUACAUUUUCUGCCACAGAACACCCCGAACAGCGCCCUGAAACAUGACGCCUGAAGGAGGAUUUAGUAGUAAAAGCAAA